This 91-nucleotide microRNA precursor is filed under the name Mus pahari (shrew mouse). RNAcentral's name for it is "microRNA 6361 (MGP_PahariEiJ_G0006918.1)". The record is from RNAcentral. Lineage: Eukaryota; Metazoa; Chordata; Mammalia; Rodentia; Muridae.
ACAUGGGGCUGAAUACUGUUGGGUGAGGAGCUCCUCUGUACUUCCCACCACUUCCUGGAGAACUGCCUGGCUCAGCAGUCACCCUGUGACU